CCCAUCUGAUCGCAGAAUAUCAACAACACUAGCUGCUGAUGAAGCUGAAGCCAACACUAGAACAGACACCACCUGCAAAACAAAAAUGGAAAGGCUUGCAGUUGUGCCCACAGAGCCAGGAACCUCAACCAUCACCAGCCUAUUUUUGCUUGUGUCAGAUGUAAGUUAGCGCUUGAAUCUAAACCUCGAUAAAGAUUGAAACUUUUGACAUGGGUCUGAAAGAUCUUGUGGAGGUUUUAAUUAAAUCACCUGGGUUUUCGUUUACUGGUGAGGACAAAGAGAUGACGAUCAUGAUCAUGACGGAGAAGAAGAAGAAGAAGGGAGGAAUAAAAAAGUAAGGCAAGUUGCUAGUGUUUCUGGUUCGCACGUUGUUUGUGAGAGUUACGAAUGGUGGAAAACAGAAGACUGUUCAUGUUAAAAGAGUUGUGGUCUGUAUUCAUCAGACAAAGCAGAGCAAAUGUCGGAGAAAACUGUUAUGCAACACUUUUGAUUCCUUCCUUCUUCAUCUCUUAAAUCUCUCUACUUUUUUUCUUUAUUUUAUUGUACAAUAAGUCGCUGCUUUUUAGAAAUUUACAAGACAACACCUCAGAAUUUUCUAGCUUCACUUGUACAACGAAGUAAAUUUUGCAAAUUCUAAAGAAUGGCAGAAUUUGAUCUGCAUAUCGUUGGUAGAUAGUGUUUAAAGGUAAUUUGUUGGAAUUUGGAGGAAUGAGAAGAACAGAAGACAAAGAACAUAUAGUCAAAUACCAAAAGUAAACCACUAUAUAAUAAAUGUAUGUCUCAACUCAUGAUUAGGUUAUUUCAGAUCCUAAAGAGUAA
This is a non-coding RNA of Camelina sativa (false flax), 819 nucleotides long. NCBI's taxonomy places the organism in Eukaryota, Viridiplantae, Streptophyta, Magnoliopsida, Brassicales, Brassicaceae. The record is from RefSeq and is a predicted model, not a curated record.